AAGACCUUGCGCUUUUGGAGCGGCCGAUGCCUGCUUAGCUUGUUGGUAAGGUAAAAGCUUACCAAGGCUUCGAUCAGUAGCUGGUCUGAGAGGACGACCAGCCACACUGGGACUGAGACACGGCCCAGACUCCUACGGGAGGCAGCAGUGGGGAAUUUUAGACAAUGGGGGCAACCCUGAUCCAGCCAUGCCGCGUGAGUGAAGAAGGCCUUCGGGUUGUAAAGCUCUUUCAGCCGGAACGAAACGGUUACGGUUAAUACCCGUGACUACUGACGGUACCGGAAGAAGAAGCACCGGCUAACUACGUGCCAGCAGCCGCGGUAAUACGUAGGGUGCGAGCGUUAAUCGGAAUUACUGGGCGUAAAGCGUGCGCAGGUGGUUUUGUAAGUCAGAUGUGAAAGCCCCGGGCUCAACCUGGGAACU
Molecule: ribosomal RNA, 423 nt
Filed under: uncultured bacterium
Lineage: Bacteria
Description: bacterial SSU rRNA
Rfam family: Bacterial small subunit ribosomal RNA
Source: RNAcentral